GAGGAAUAUUGGUCAAUGGGCGCAAGCCUGAACCAGCCAAGUAGCGUGCAGGAAGACGGCCCUAUGGGUUGUAAACUGCUUUUAUACGAGAAUAAUUUGAUGCACGUGUGCGUUAUUGCAUGUAUCGUAUGAAUAAGGACCGGCUAAUUCCGUGCCAGCAGCCGCGGUAAUACGGAAGGUCCAGGCGUUAUCCGGAUUUAUUGGGUUUAAAGGGAGUGUAGGCGGUUUGUUAAGCGUGUUGUGAAAUUUAGAUGCUCAACAUUUAACUUGCAGCGCGAACUGUCAGACUUGAGUACACGCAACGUAUGCGGAAUUCAUGGUGUAGCGGUGAAAUGCUUAGAUAUCAUGAAGAACUCCGAUUGCGAAGGCAGCAUACGGGAGUGUAACUGACGCUUAAGCUCGAAGGUGCGGGUAUCGAACAGGAUUAGAUACCCUGGUAGUCCGCACAGUAAACGAUGGAUGCCCGCUGUUAGCGCCUGGCGUUAGCGGCUAAGCGAAAGCAUUAAGCAUCCCACCUGGGGAGUACGCCGGCAACGGUG
RNAcentral lists this ribosomal RNA (539 nucleotides) under uncultured bacterium. RNAcentral describes it as "bacterial SSU rRNA". It matches the Rfam family "Bacterial small subunit ribosomal RNA", at positions 356 to 896 of the family's 1533-position model. The record is from RNAcentral.